This 373-nucleotide long non-coding RNA is filed under the name Brassica napus (rape). Its description in RNAcentral is "long non-coding RNA (BNAP_LNC003244)". Lineage: Eukaryota; Viridiplantae; Streptophyta; Magnoliopsida; Brassicales; Brassicaceae. The record is from RNAcentral.
AAGCCCAAAUUAAUGCAGUACCGCUCUCUAAACUGGGCUUUGUAGUUUCGGUUGGGACCCCUAUCGUGGCGCCUUGUUAUUGGCCAGCGCAUCAAUGCUCUCUCUCUCCUUUGUCGCGAGAAAGCCAAAGGCUAUCAUUCUCGACUUCUCCGUCUUCUCUCUACGCGAUCUCGGCGACCUCCGCGUCUCUCUCGUUAUCGGCGUCUGAGAAUCGAACCUCGUCGUCUCUCUGUCCAACCUCGUCGUCUCUCUGUCCAACCUCGUCGUCUCUGUCUCCACUUCUCCGUCUUCUCUCUCGGUGACUUUCAUUCUGGAGAACUCCGUCUUCUCGGUCGGUGAUCUCGUUCUCGGCGUCUCUGAAGCGAAUCGCGUC